UACGAAGGGGGCUAGCGUUGCUCGGAAUCACUGGGCGUAAAGGGUGCGUAGGCGGGUCUUUAAGUCAGAGGUGAAAUCCUGGAGCUCAACUCCAGAACUGCCUUUGAUACUGAGGAUCUUGAGUUCGGGAGAGGUGAGUGGAACUGCGAGUGUAGAGGUGAAAUUCGUAGAUAUCUGGAGGAACACCGGUGGCGAAGGCGGCAUCCUGGACCGAUACUGACGCUGAGGAGCGAAAGCCAGGGGAGCAAACGGG
This 253-nucleotide ribosomal RNA is filed under the name uncultured bacterium. RNAcentral describes it as "partial 16S ribosomal RNA". It matches the Rfam family "Bacterial small subunit ribosomal RNA", at positions 524 to 776 of the family's 1533-position model. The record is from RNAcentral.